CCUACGAGAGGCUGCAGUGAGGAAUAUUGGUCAAUGGGCUUACGCCUGAACCAGCCAAGUCGCGUGAGGGAAGACUGCCCUAUGGGUUGUAAACUUCUUUUGUGAGGGAGUAAAUGGCGCUACGUGUAACGUUAUCUAGAGUACCCGAAGAAAAGGCAUCGGUUAUCCCCGUGCAAGCAGCCGGGGUAAUACGAAGGAUCGGAGGGUUAUCCGGAUGUAUUGGGUUUAAAGGUUGCGUAGCCGGAGUGUAAAGUGAGCGGUAAAAGCGCGGGGGCCACCCUCGCUCCGCCGUUGAAACUGGCGUUCUUGAGUGGGCGAGAAGUAUGCGGAAUGCGUGGUGUAGCGGUGAAAUGCAUAGAUAUCACGCAGAACUCCGAUUGCGAAGGCAGCAUACCGGCGCCCAACUGACGCUGAAGCACGAAGGCGUGGGUAUCGAACAGGAUUAGAUACCCCUGUAGUC
This 460-nucleotide ribosomal RNA is filed under the name uncultured bacterium. RNAcentral describes it as "partial 16S ribosomal RNA". It matches the Rfam family "Bacterial small subunit ribosomal RNA", at positions 338 to 795 of the family's 1533-position model. The record is from RNAcentral.